GUUUUUAGGGCAUCCCACAUAUGGCAUAUGGAGGUUCCCAGACUCUAUCAAAAUCUAAAUGAUGUUUUUUGUAGGAAUUUAAAAAUAUAUCAUAAAAUUAAUAAAGAAUCUCAUGGGACCCUGAACAACUAAAAGAAACUUGAACAAUAACAGAACUGAGUACACACAUUUCUCACAUCAAAUUUAUUUCAAAGAUACAAUCAUCAAAACAGUGUGCUAUUAGCAUAUAGACAGGCAUAUAAAUUAAUGGAAUGUAACAGACAACCCAGAAAUAUACCCUCACCUAUUUGGUCAAGUGAUUUUCAACAAGGGUGCAAGACCAUUCAAUAAGAAAAGGACAGUAUUUUUAAUAAAUGGUACUGAUAAAACUGAUAUACACAUGAAAAAGAAUGAAGUUGGAUAUUUAUCUUACACCAUAUACAAAAAUUAACUCAAAAGAAAUCAAAGUCCUAAAUAUAAGAGCUAAAACUAUAAAACUCUUGGAAGAAAACUUAGGAGUGAUGUUUCAUGGUAUUGGAUUUGGCAACUAUUUCUUAGAUAUGAUAACAAAGCACAGGAAACAAAAUAAAAAAUAAAUUGGAUUUCAAUAUUAACAACUCUUGUGCCUCAAAGGACACUAUCAACAAGGUAAGAAGGCAAUACACAAAACAGAAGCAAAUAUUUGCAAGUCUGAUAAAGGAUUUAUAACCAGAAUAUACAAGGAAUUCUUAUAACUCAAUAACAAAAUGAACAACCUGAUUAAAAACUGGACAAAGGACUUGAAUAGUCAUUGCUCCAAAGAUGUACAAAUAGCCAAUAAACACAUGAAAAGAUGCUGAACAUCAUUGAUCAUCAGGAAAAUGCAAAUCCAAGCCACAAUGAGAACAACCUCAUACCUAUUAGGAUGGCUAUUAUUUGAAAAAGCAAACAAAUAAAAUUGACAUUUUCCCAAAGAAGACAUACAGAUAACUAACAGGCACAUGAAAAGAUGCUCAACAUCACUAAUCAUUAGAGAAAUGCAACUCAAAACCACAAUGAGAUAUCACCUCACACCUGUCAGAAUGGCCAUCAUAAAAAGGCCUACCAAUAACAAAUGUUGGCCAAGAUGUGGAGAAAAGGGAACCCUUGUACAUUGUUGAUGGGAAUGUAAAUUGGUGCAGCCACUAUGGAAAACAGUACUCAGGUUCCUCAAAAGACUAAAGAAAAACUACCACAUUAUCCAGAAAUUCUACUCCUGCAUAUAUAUCUGAAGAAAAUGAAAACACUAUCUGAAAAGAUACAUGCACCUCAAUGUUCAUAGCAACAUUAUUUAUAAUAGCCAAUAUAUGGAAGCAACCUAGGUGUCCACUGACAGAUGAAUGUAUAAAGAAGAUGUUGUGUGUGUGUGUACACACACACACACACACACACA
RNAcentral lists this long non-coding RNA (1390 nucleotides) under Sus scrofa (pig). RNAcentral describes it as "lncRNA (ENSSSCG00055026510.1)". The record is from RNAcentral. Lineage: Eukaryota; Metazoa; Chordata; Mammalia; Artiodactyla; Suidae.